GACGAACGCUGGCGGUAUGCUUAACACAUGCAAGUCGAACGAGAAGUUUUUUAUUGAACCUUCGGGGGAUAUAAGAGACAGACAGUGGCGAACGGGUGAGUAACGCGUGGGCAACCUACCUAUCGGAGCGGGAUAGCCUCGAGAAAUCGGGAGUAAAACCGCAUAACACGGAUAUAUCGCAUGAUGAAUCCGUCAAAACUCCGGUGCCGAUAGAUGGGCCCGCGUCUGAUUAGCUAGUUGGUAAGGUAAGGGCUUACCAAGGCAACGAUCAGUAGCCGGUCUGAGAGGGCGAACGGCCACACUGGAACUGAGACACGGUCCAGACUCCUACGGGAGGCAGCAGUGGGGAAUAUUGCGCAAUGGGGGCAACCCUGACGCAGCAAUACCGCGUGAGUGAAGAAGGUUUUCGGAUCGUAAAGCUCUGUUAUUGGGGAAGAAGCAGGACGGUAC
This 450-nucleotide ribosomal RNA is filed under the name Pseudoramibacter alactolyticus. RNAcentral's name for it is "bacterial SSU rRNA". It matches the Rfam family "Bacterial small subunit ribosomal RNA", at positions 28 to 478 of the family's 1533-position model. Lineage: Bacteria; Bacillati; Bacillota; Clostridia; Eubacteriales; Eubacteriaceae. The record is from RNAcentral.